UACGUAGGUGACAAGCGUUAUCCGGAAUUACUGGGCGUAAAGCGCACGCAGGCGGCGCGGUAAGUCUGAUGUGAAAUCUCCCGGCUUAACUGGGAGGGGUCAUUGGAAACUGCCGAGCUUGAGGCGAUGAGAGGGGUGUAGAAUUCCCGGUGUAGUGGUGGAAUGCGUAGAUAUCGGGAGGAACACCAGUGGCGAAGGCGGUUACCUGGAGCUUUGCUGACGCUGAUGCGCGAAAGCGUGGGGAGCGAUCCGG
RNAcentral lists this ribosomal RNA (253 nucleotides) under uncultured bacterium. Its description in RNAcentral is "partial 16S ribosomal RNA". It matches the Rfam family "Bacterial small subunit ribosomal RNA", at positions 524 to 776 of the family's 1533-position model. The record is from RNAcentral.